Long non-coding RNA from Amblyraja radiata (thorny skate), 95 nucleotides. RefSeq lists it as uncharacterized. The record is from RefSeq and is a predicted model, not a curated record. The transcript has 3 exons. Lineage: Eukaryota; Metazoa; Chordata; Chondrichthyes; Rajiformes; Rajidae.
UGGUGGAGGCAGGCAAUAAACAUUUAGAUUGGUACAUGGACAUGAUAGGUUUAGAGGAAUAUGGGCCAAAUGCAGGUAGGUGGGACUAGUGUAGA